GUGUUCCCGAGAGUUCCCUUGACCACUUCAUGAGGGCUUAAUUACUUCAUUUUUGAUGUCCUGCUGAAGUGUUUGGGGGAACUCCUGGGCCUUU
This 94-nucleotide microRNA precursor is filed under the name Solanum tuberosum (potato). RNAcentral's name for it is "mir-395 microRNA precursor family". It matches the Rfam family "mir-395 microRNA precursor family". From Rfam's summary of the family: mir-395 was identified in both Arabidopsis thaliana and Oryza sativa computationally and was later experimentally verified. mir-395 is thought to target mRNAs coding for ATP sulphurylases. The mature sequence is excised from the 3' arm of the hairpin. The record is from Rfam by way of RNAcentral. Lineage: Eukaryota; Viridiplantae; Streptophyta; Magnoliopsida; Solanales; Solanaceae.